CAAUAGCGUAUAUUAAAGUUGUUGCAGUUAAAAGCUCGUAGUUGGAUUUCUGGUGGGAGCGAUCGGUCUGGCGCUUAGCGCGAGUACUUGCAUCGUCUCCGGCCAUCCUUGGGGAGAGUUUGUCUGGCAUUAAGUUGUCGGGCAGAGGAUCCUCAUCGUUUACUGUGAAAAAUUAGAGUGUUCAAAGCAGGCUUAUGCCGUUGAAUAUAUUAGCAUGGAAUAAUAAGAUAGGACUUUGGUACUAUUUUGUUGGUUUGCGCACCAAAGUAAUGAUUAAUAGGGACAGUUGGGGGUGAUUCGUAUUAACGCGUCAGAGGUGGAAUUCUUAGAUUGCGUUACGACGAACUACUGCGAAAGCAUUUGCCAAGGAUGUUUUCAUUGAUCAAGAACGAAAGUAUGGGGAUCGAAGACGAUCAGAU
Molecule: ribosomal RNA, 419 nt
Filed under: uncultured eukaryote
Lineage: Eukaryota
Description: SSU rRNA
Rfam family: Eukaryotic small subunit ribosomal RNA
Source: RNAcentral